GACAGAGGGUGCGAACGUUGUUCGGAAUUACUGGGCGUAAAGCGCAUGUAGGCGGCAGCGCAAGUCGGGCGUGAAAUCCCACGGCUCAACCGUGGAAGUGCACUCGAAACUGCGCAGCUAAAGUCCUGGAGAGGGAGGUGGAAUGCUUGGUGUAGAGGUGAAAUUCGUAGAUAUCAAGCGGAACACCAGUGGCGAAGGCGGCCUUCUGGACAGUGACUGACGCUGAGAUGCGAAAGCGUGGGGAGCAAACAGG
RNAcentral lists this ribosomal RNA (253 nucleotides) under uncultured bacterium. RNAcentral's name for it is "partial 16S ribosomal RNA". It matches the Rfam family "Bacterial small subunit ribosomal RNA", at positions 524 to 776 of the family's 1533-position model. The record is from RNAcentral.